AAAGGCCCUCUCUGUGGCCAUGCCAGCCUGUCACUGUGACACAGCUACAGGGCCACAGAGAGGGCCUUUACACCUUGCAGGGCUGGGAAACACUCAUGACCCACAUGCAGCUAACCAUGUAACUGGGGUGAGUCGCUCUGCUCCCAGUAAGCCCCACACGCAAUCCACGGUACACUUCUCAGAAUAAGGAACAAAUGCUCUGUGCAUUUUUAUUACAAACACCAUGGUGGGCAGGUGCAGUGCCUCAAUGCCUCUAAUCCCAACACUUUGGGAGGCCAAAGCGUGUAGAUCACCUGAGGUCAG
RNAcentral lists this long non-coding RNA (303 nucleotides) under Homo sapiens (human). RNAcentral describes it as "HSALNT0396266". Lineage: Eukaryota; Metazoa; Chordata; Mammalia; Primates; Hominidae. The record is from RNAcentral.